RNAcentral lists this unclassified non-coding RNA (436 nucleotides) under uncultured Tomentella. RNAcentral describes it as "sequence contains ITS2". The stretch from base 1 to 155 matches the Rfam family "5.8S ribosomal RNA". The record is from RNAcentral. Lineage: Eukaryota; Fungi; Basidiomycota; Agaricomycetes; Thelephorales; Thelephoraceae.
AACUUUCAACAACGGAUCUCUUGGCUCUCGCAUCGAUGAAGAACGCAGCGAAAUGCGAUAAGUAAUGUGAAUUGCAGAAGUCAGUGAAUCAUCGAAUCUUUGAACGCACCUUGCGCCCUUUGGCUAUUCCGAAGGGCAUGCCUGUUUGAGUAUCAUGAACACCUCAACUCUCAUGGUCCGCCAUGACGAGCUUGGACUUUGGGGGUCUUGCCGGCCUAGCAUCGGCUCCUCUCAAAUUGAUCAGCUUGCCAGUGUUUGGUGGCGUCACAGGUGUGAUAACUAUCUACGCUUGUGGUUUCUGCCAUGCAGCCUUCAGUGAUGGAGGUUCGCUGGAGCUCACAGAUGUCUCUCCUUGGGGAGGACAGCUUUUUGAACGUUUGAUCUCAAAUCAGGUAGGACUACCCGCUGAACUUAAGCAUAUCAAUAAGCGGAGGCU